UAGGUCUCAGUUCAGAUUGCAGGCUGCAACCCGCCUGCAUGAAGUCGGAAUUGCUAGUAAUCGCGGAUCAGCAUGCCGCGGUGAAUACGUUCCCGGGCCUUGUACACACCGCCCGUCACACCAUGGGAGCCGGUAAUACCCGAAGUCAGUAGUCCAACCCCGUGAGGACGCUGCCGAAGGUAGGAUUGGCGACUGGGGUGAAGUCGUAACAAGGUACC
RNAcentral lists this ribosomal RNA (218 nucleotides) under uncultured bacterium. RNAcentral's name for it is "partial 16S ribosomal RNA". It matches the Rfam family "Bacterial small subunit ribosomal RNA", at positions 1282 to 1500 of the family's 1533-position model. The record is from RNAcentral.